This 468-nucleotide ribosomal RNA is filed under the name uncultured bacterium. RNAcentral describes it as "partial 16S ribosomal RNA". It matches the Rfam family "Bacterial small subunit ribosomal RNA", at positions 28 to 507 of the family's 1533-position model. The record is from RNAcentral.
GACGAACGCUGGCGGCGUGCUUAACACAUGCAAGUCGAACGGUGAUGCCCCAGCUUGCUGGAGUGGAUCAGUGGCGAACGGGGGAGUAACACGUGAGCAACCUGCCCCAGACUGUGGAAGAAGCGCUGGAAACGGCGGCUAAUACUGGAUACGAAACUGGCGCGCAUGGGCAUGGUGUGGAAAGUUUGUCGGUUUGGGAUGGGCUCGCGGCCUAUGAGCUUGUUGGGGAGGUAGUGGCAGACCAAGGCGAGGACGGGUAGCCGGCCUGCGAGGGCGACCGGCCACACUGGAACGGAGACACGGCCCAGACUCCUACGGGACGCAGCAGUGGGGAAUAUUGCACAAUGGGCGAAAGCCUGAUGCAGCGACGCCGCGUGGGGGAUGACGGCCUUCGGGUUGUAAACCUCUUUCAGCAGGGAAGAAGCGAAAGUGACGGUACCUGCAGAAGAAGCACCGGCUAACUACGUG